RNAcentral lists this ribosomal RNA (583 nucleotides) under Lactiplantibacillus plantarum. Its description in RNAcentral is "bacterial SSU rRNA". It matches the Rfam family "Bacterial small subunit ribosomal RNA", at positions 384 to 959 of the family's 1533-position model. Lineage: Bacteria; Bacillati; Bacillota; Bacilli; Lactobacillales; Lactobacillaceae. The record is from RNAcentral.
UGAUGGAGCACGCCGCGUGAGUGAAGAAGGGUUUCGGCUCGUAAAACUCUGUUGUUAAAGAAGAACAUAUCUGAGAGUAACUGUUCAGGUAUUGACGGUAUUUAACCAGAAAGCCACGGCUAACUACGUGCCAGCAGCCGCGGUAAUACGUAGGUGGCAAGCGUUGUCCGGAUUUAUUGGGCGUAAAGCGAGCGCAGGCGGUUUUUUAAGUCUGAUGUGAAAGCCUUCGGCUCAACCGAAGAAGUGCAUCGGAAACUGGGAAACUUGAGUGCAGAAGAGGACAGUGGAACUCCAUGUGUAGCGGUGAAAUGCGUAGAUAUAUGGAAGAACACCAGUGGCGAAGGCGGCUGUCUGGUCUGUAACUGACGCUGAGGCUCGAAAGUAUGGGUAGCAAACAGGAUUAGAUACCCUGGUAGUCCAUACCGUAAACGAUGAAUGCUAAGUGUUGGAGGGUUUCCGCCCUUCAGUGCUGCAGCUAACGCAUUAAGCAUUCCGCCUGGGGAGUACGGCCGCAAGGCUGAAACUCAAAGGAAUUGACGGGGGCCCGCACAAGCGGUGGAGCAUGUGGUUUAAUUCGAAGCUA